RNAcentral lists this long non-coding RNA (370 nucleotides) under Mytilus galloprovincialis (Mediterranean mussel). Lineage: Eukaryota; Metazoa; Mollusca; Bivalvia; Mytilida; Mytilidae. The record is from RNAcentral.
ACAAAACAAAUGUAUCAUGUUACGUAUAUUUUAUUGUUAUCGAAACAUUCAUAUAUAUUAUGAUAUUUGUUUUGAAUCUGAACAUCUUCGUUCGUUUGUACAAGCACACAUGAAGUCACUCGUAUUUUUUUUCAAAUCAAAUCAAGGUCCAGAGAAUGUUAACCUUUGUUUGUAUGAUAUUUCGUUUUGGUCCUGUCACUUACAGAUGAGUACAAUUUACAGAUAUGUUAUAUCAUAAAAACACAUAUCGUUCUUUAAAAAAAGGGACGAAAAAUACCAGAGGCACAGUCAAACUCACAGAUUAAAAAUAAACUGCCAACGAUAUGGCUGAAAAUAAAAAGACAAACAGACAAAUAAUAAUAAAGAAGAC